CGUACUUCCGGCCAGUGAGCUUUAAAAGCCGAGGGUGUGGUUGGGAGGGGCAGUGUGGUGUCUUCCGUCUGACCUUUGGUUCUGAAAUUUUCAAACCUGCAUUGACUACAGGACUAAGAUUUUAUGAUGGAAAAUAUCUCUGUAAAAGCAGAGCCUCAGAUUUUUGAAGAUGUGGCUAUGUACUUCACAGAGCAGGAACUAGCCAGCUUGACACUUGAUCAGAAGGCCCUGUACAAGGAUGUGGUGCUUGAGAACUUUGCACAUGUGGCUUUUCUGGGGUACAUCUCAAAACUAAAAAAAUACGCUCAGCUGGCCGAAGCAGAGGCAUCCAGGGUGAAGGCGUUCCUCUAAGUCAGGUGUGCGGGAGACAGGGAUAAAGGAAGGGGAUGUCAGAGCCGUGUCACUGCUGUCAAGUGCAGGUUUUUCUGUAGCCAUGCACAUUUCCAUCCAAGUAGAUGCAAUGCUUUUAGUUCAUUAAAGUUGUUCAUUAUGAAGUGCAAA
Peromyscus eremicus (cactus mouse) is the source of this 501-nucleotide long non-coding RNA. RefSeq lists it as uncharacterized. The record is from RefSeq and is a predicted model, not a curated record. Lineage: Eukaryota; Metazoa; Chordata; Mammalia; Rodentia; Cricetidae. The transcript has 4 exons.